This 231-nucleotide ribosomal RNA is filed under the name uncultured bacterium. RNAcentral's name for it is "partial 16S ribosomal RNA". It matches the Rfam family "Bacterial small subunit ribosomal RNA", at positions 97 to 334 of the family's 1533-position model. The record is from RNAcentral.
GGCGAACGGGUGAGUAACGCGUGAGUAUCUAUCCUUUAGUGAUGAAUAUUUUCGAGAAAUCGGAGUUAAUACAGCAUACGUCCCUUCGGGGAGAAAGGCGGCCUCUUGCCGCCGCUUAAGGAUGAGCUUGCGUCCUAUUAGCUUGUUGGUGGGGUAAAGGCCUACCAAGGCACAGAUGGGUAGCCGGCCUGAGAGGGUGAUCGGCCACAUUGGGACUGAGAUACGGCCCAG